CACCAUAUUAUUUUAGCCAUGGAGUAAAGAGAACAAUUUCUUUUGCCUUGACAGCUUGACAGCCUCCAGCGGAGGCUUGUUUGGCAGCCUGGUGGAAAAGUGGGCAAAAGAAGAGGUCUAGAUGUCACAGCCUUUAUGUACUUUGGAUAAUGCCUCUCCAAAGGAAGAAUGCCAGGAAGGGAGUGCAAAGGCUGAUGGAAGUGACAUAGAAGCCAGCAUCAUCAGCUAUGAACAUGCAGAAUGAAGCAAGGGGAUUCAGCAGAAACAGUGAAGACCCUGAGAAUAAGGACAAGUGUUUGGUGGACAAAGCACCAGGAUCUGGAGUUACUAGCAACUAAAGGAGAAAGGCAUGAGGUCAAUAGAGGUAGAAAAAAAAAAAAGCCCAAGGGACUACAGAUGGUGGAGCCUGUUGAGAUGAGGUGCUGGGGAUCAAGCAGUGAGUGUUUGUUUCCCAUCUGGGCUUUUGCAUAGUCAAGACUCCACCUCUGAAACUUGAUCUACAAGUGCCAAUAUUGACCUUGAGUGUAUUGAUAAACCCAAAGACUUCUUCACCAUCUUUACCA
This 563-nucleotide long non-coding RNA is filed under the name Heterocephalus glaber (naked mole-rat). RNAcentral's name for it is "lncRNA (ENSHGLG00100047668.1)". Lineage: Eukaryota; Metazoa; Chordata; Mammalia; Rodentia; Bathyergidae. The record is from RNAcentral.